CGGAGGAAAAGAAACCAACUGGGAUUACCUUAGUAACGGCGAGUGAAGCGGUAAAAGCUCAAAUUUGAAAUCUGGUACUUUCAGUGCCCGAGUUGUAAUUUGUAGAAUUUGUCUUUGAUUAGGUCCUUGUCUAUGUUCCUUGGAACAGGACGUCAUAGAGGGUGAGAAUCCCGUUUGGCGAGGAUACCUUUUCUCUGUAAGACUUUUUCGAAGAGUCGAGUUGUUUGGGAAUGCAGCUCAAAGUGGGUGGUAAAUUCCAUCUAAAGCUAAAUAUUGGCGAGAGACCGAUAGCGAACAAGUACAGUGAUGGAAAGAUGAAAAGAACUUUGAAAAGAGAGUGAAAAAGUACGUGAAAUUGUUGAAAGGGAAGGGCAUUUGAUCAGACAUGGUGUUUUUUUAAUGUGCAAGUCUCUCGUGGACAUGUGCCUCUGGAAAUUAACACUGGGCCAACAUCAGUUCUGGCGGCAGGAUAAAUCAUUAAGAAUGUAGCUACCUCGGUAGUGUUAUAGCUUUUUGGAAUACUGCCAGCUGGGAUUGAGGACUGCGCUUCGGCAAGGAUGUUGGCAUAAUGGUUAAAUGCCGCCCGUCUUGA
RNAcentral lists this ribosomal RNA (592 nucleotides) under Hanseniaspora thailandica (nom. inval.). RNAcentral describes it as "Hanseniaspora thailandica partial 26S ribosomal RNA". It matches the Rfam family "Eukaryotic large subunit ribosomal RNA", at positions 51 to 657 of the family's 3401-position model. The record is from RNAcentral. Lineage: Eukaryota; Fungi; Ascomycota; Saccharomycetes; Saccharomycodales; Saccharomycodaceae.